This 1411-nucleotide long non-coding RNA is filed under the name Sus scrofa (pig). Its description in RNAcentral is "lncRNA (ENSSSCG00030016448.1)". The record is from RNAcentral. Lineage: Eukaryota; Metazoa; Chordata; Mammalia; Artiodactyla; Suidae.
AUAUAUGGGUCUUGUUUGUGUAUCCAUUCAUCCAGUCUAUGUCUUUUGGUUGGGGCAUUUAGUCCAUUAACAUUUAAAGUAAUUAUUGAUAUAUAUGUUCUCAUUGCCAUUUUACUAAUUGCUUUGGAUUUGUUUUUGUUGCUCUUUUUUCUUCCCUUCUCUUGUUCUCUCCUCUUCUGGUUUGAUGACUAUCUUUAGUGUUGUAUUUGAGUUGAUUUUUUUUGUUUUGUUUUGUUGCCUCUUCUAGGGGCAGCCCUGCAGCAUAUGGAGGUUCCCAGGCUAGGGGUCUAAUCAGAGCUGUGGCCAUCAGCCUAUGCCAGAGCCACAGCAACACAGCAUCAUAGCCGAGUUUGCGACCUACACCACAGCUCAUAGCAAUGCCAGAUCCUUAACCCACUGAGCAUGGCCAGGGAUCAAACUUGCAACCUCAUGAUUCCUAGUUGGAUUUGUUAACCACUGAGCAAUGACUGGAACUCUGUAAUUUAUUUUUCUUAUUUGUUUGUGUAUCAAUUGUAGAUUUUUGGUUUGUAGUUAUUCUGAAGUUUUGAUAAAAGAGUCUAUAUAUAUAUAAGAUUGUUUUAAGUUGUUGGUCUCUUAAUUGCAAGUGCUUAUCCAGUGUCCUGCAUUUGUACCCUCCUCUUCUCAUGAUUUCUGAUUCUGGUGGCAUAAUUGUGCAUGGAUGAUUUUGUAUCUUUACUGUAUAUAUACCUUUACCAGUGAACCUUGUCUUUGUGAUAUUUUUGUUUCUGGUUGCAACCUUUUCUUUUCUGCCUAGAGACGUUUCCUUUAGUAUUUGUUGUAAAGCUGGUUUAGUGUUGCUGAAUUCUCUCAGCUUUUGCUUAUCUGUGAAGUUUUUGAUUUCUCCUUCAAAUCUGAAUGAGAGCCUUGCUGGGUAAAGUAAUCUUGGUUGGAGGUUUUUUCCUUUCAUCACGUGAAGUAUAUCAUGCCGUUCUCUUCCAGCCUGCAGAGUUUCUGCUGAAAAAUCUGCUGAUAACCUUAUUGGGGUUCCCUUGCAUGUUACUUGUUUCUUUUCCCUAGCUGCUCUCAAUGUUUUCUCUUUGUCUUUAAUUUCCGUCAGUUUGAUAUGUGUCUCAGGGUGUUCCUCAUCCUUGGGUUUAUUGUAUAUGGCACUCAUUGCACUUCCUGGAUUUGAGGGAGCAGCUACUUUCCCAUGUUAGGGAAGUUUUUGGUUAUUACCUCUUUGAAUAUUUUUUCUGUCCCUUUAUCUCUCUCUUCUCUUUCUGGCACCCCUAUAAUAUGGAUGUUGGUGCAUUUAACAUUCAGAGUCCUCUGAGACUCUCUUCAUUUGUUUUCAAUCUUUUUUUCUCUUUUCUGUUCCACACCCAUAAUUUCUACUAGUCUGUCCUCCACCUUGCUUAUUCGUUCCUCUGCCUCCUGUAUUCUGCUGUUG